CAGCAUACAAUGCUUUCCUAAACAAAAUACAGACUGUUCCAGUUGUUUAUGCACCAGCUCUGGGAACACCACAGCCAGGUUCUUAUACCUCCACGUGUUCUCCUCCCUUCAUGAAUUCACAACCCACACUGGCUCAGAGUCGGCUACAACAUUGGUUAUGGAGUAUAAGGCACUGACCUACGUUUGGAUGAUAAAUCUCCUUUAACUGUAAGGGAAUGGAGACUUCUAGCCCUGGGCAAAGAGCCUGAGCCUAGCAGCAACCUCUACAACUAAGCCUCCAAACAAGGCUUCUGAGCAUUUUAAAUAAAGGAUUUUUUUUUUUUU
Molecule: long non-coding RNA, 324 nt
Organism: Galeopterus variegatus (Sunda flying lemur)
Lineage: Eukaryota; Metazoa; Chordata; Mammalia; Dermoptera; Cynocephalidae
Exons: 2
Source: RefSeq, a predicted model, not a curated record